Molecule: long non-coding RNA, 6520 nt
Organism: Anolis carolinensis (green anole)
Lineage: Eukaryota; Metazoa; Chordata; Lepidosauria; Squamata; Anolidae
Exons: 3
Source: RefSeq, a predicted model, not a curated record
GAAGAAUUGCACGGGGUUUUCUCUGGGUGGGAAUUGUUACAUUGAAUGUGGGGGGAGUGUAUAUAAGGGAGUCUUUCUGGGCCAACCAGCAAUCUCGGCUUUAUGCGUGUCAAAGUAUCCUACAGUACAGUUUUCAGUGAUAACAGAGCGAGUCUCUUGUGUUCAUUUGGAAGCGGCUGGAGUGAGCUGACAUUAUGCCUCAAGUACCACCUCUCAGCAGUAAAGAACUGGUGGGAUCACAAACCUGCAAAAGUAUUGGAAAAUGAGCACGCAAAGAUACUGUGGGACUUCUGAAUCCAGACUGACAAAGUUCUGGAACACAACACACUAGACAUCACAGUUGUGGAAAAGAAAAAGGUUUGGAUCAUUGAUGUCGCCAUCCCAGGUGACAGUCGCAUUGACAAAAAACAACAGGAAAAACUCAGCCGCUAUCAGGACCUCAAGACUGAACUUCAAAGACUGGCAGAAACCUGUGCAGGUGGUCCCGGUGGUGAUGGGCACAUUGGGUGCUGUGCCAAAAGAUCUCAGCCGGCAUUUGGAAACAAUAGACAUUGACAAAAUUACGAUCUGCCAACUGCAAAAGGCCACCCUACUGGGAUCUGCGCACAUCAUCCGAAAAUACAUCACACAGUCCUAGACACUUGGGAAGUGUUCGACUUGUGAUUUUAUUAUACGAAAUCCAACAUAUCUAUCUUGUUUGCUGUGUUAUAAAAUAAAAUAAUAAUAAUAAUAAUAAUAAUAAUAAUAAUAAUAAUACUUAAACAAGCAAACCCUGUACACUUUUUAGGAGAUGCUGCUUACACUCUUAACUGGAGAAUGUGGUGCUAAAAGUUGUUCUUUUAUAACCGUGGAUCAGCUGAAAGCUUUCCUACGAAAAUCAAUAUCACUUCAAUAUGAGCAUAACGUGACUGAAGACCUCAGAGAGAAUUAAAUGUGUGCAUAAUUCUUCUCUUCAGAUCACUUGGGCUUAGAAGUGCUUAGCAAUGCUUAACUUUGUGUUUUGAUGAUGUCUCUCUAUUUCAGUAAAGCAUGUAUGGUCAUCUGGGUAUGUGGAAAUGUAACCUCUAAAAAAAGAAGCUGAAAUCUUGCUGAAUGGCUGUUUGCUGAGUAGGAUCCUUUCUGAUCAGAAAUGUAAAAUGUUGCCUCUAUCAAUGAGGGGUACGCUCGUGGACUUUGGAUAGUAUGUCAAUCUGUGAAUAAUAUAUUGAAACAAAGGUCUUCUGGCCCAAGAACACCAUAGGAGAAUGUUGAAAAUGCUUAAGGGAGAUAGACAUAUUUUGGCAGAUGUGAAUGAAUAAAACUAUCUAUCUAUCUAUCUAUCUAUCUAUCUAUCUAUCUAUCUAUCUAUCUAUCUAUCUAUCUGUUCCAUCUCCCAGGGUUUUGAUUUUACAAGUUGUCUAUAGUUGCAGGAAUAGCACCUGUUUGCAUUUCUUCCAGGGCUGUUGCAGAUUCUGCAGCAACCUGAUAGUUUAGCCAUUAGCAGAGUUUGUAGCCUGUUUGCAAAGCUUUGCUGCUUGUAGCCUGCAAAUGUAUCUUUUUGUUCUGGAGACCGCCCCUUUUCCUGGGGAAAGAAGGCUCCAUUUUGAGAAGCCUCUUGCCUUCUAGACUGAAGAAGAAACAACUUAGAUGUGCUUUUGUGGCCAAGCCAGGCCAACUCUGACAAAGCCAUUAUUUGAAGACUUCAUGGAGGGAUUGCCAGGCUUGGGAUGUGAGGCAAGGGAACUCAGAGCGGCUUACAACAUGGCAAUAUUCAAUCUCUUUUGAAGACAGUGGUCCUCUUGCACCUCAUAUAUUCACCAGGGUUUCUCAAAAAUGAUGGCAAGUGAUUAAGUGUUGUUCCUUCAAUAUUGCCAUAUAAACCACUGAGCUGCUAAAUAUGCUGACCGUAAGGUUAGCAGAUCGAAUCCAGGGAGUGGGGUGAGCUCCCCCUGCUUCUGCUAAUCUAGCAGUUCAAAAAUAUGCAAAUAUGAGUAGAUCAAUAGGUACCACUCUGGCGAGAAGGUAACGGCGCUCCAUGCAGUCAUGCCUGCCACAUGACCUUGGAGGUGUCUAGGGGCAAUGCCGGCUCUUCGGCUUUGAAAUGGAGAUAAGCACCAACCAACAGAGUCGGACACAACUAGACUUAAUGUCAGGGGAAUACCUUUACCUAAGUUAAUCUUCAUGUUAGUCUAAACUGAAGAUACGAUGCAGUUUCAAACUGCAUUAUAUGACAGUGUUGGUGAAGUUUGACCAAUUCAAAUUGGGGUGAACAGUUGAAUUUAUAUCAAGGUAUUUUUCCGGUUUGUGAGGUUCUUCACUUUUGCAAUGGCAUGUACCAAAUCCAUUCCCUAUUGCUACUCCUGACUAAAGUAUCACCACUGAAUUACAGAGAUUUCCCUCCUUUCAGCUUCAUUGUUCAAUUGUUGAUUCAAUGACUCUAGUUAGAAUUCCAGAUGUAUUUCAAUAAUACCUAAAACAGGAUGAUACAUGGCAGGAGAUUGGACUGGAUGGUCCUUGAAGGCUCUCCCAACUCUAUGAUUCUUUGUUUUAUGUUAUUUUCAUGAUAGCUGAACACUGUCAAACUCAUGUAAGCAUUGUGGGAGUUCUGUAGUUUUAAACCUGCAGAAAUUGUCAUCUCUCUUCUACCAUAGAUUUCCAUGGAAAGUCAUGUUAUCUAAAUUACCUGGAUGGAGCUCCCUGAGGUAUGAUGAUAUCUCACGCCUUUAACUGCUAUCUUUUCAUGUAACUUUGGCCUUCAUCCAUCUCAAAAUGAGACAGUAGGCGAGUCCCUUUAACCAAAGCCUGUAUCAUAAACCUUGCAAUUUUCUACUGUCAUGCUCAGGCAAUUUCAACACAUUUAAAUUAGAAAGGACCAUCCUAAUUUUGCUUCAUAGCCAGUGUAAUUGUUGUAAGAUAUAAUUAUCUCUCUCAGGCUUUUGAGAUUGAAAGAGUGAGUUGGGGGUUGGGGUAUGCGUAGAGGGGGCAGAAGGAGGAAGGAACGAAGGGAAAGGGAUGAUCAAAGUAUCCUCUACGGCUGUUUUAAUUCCAUUUCAGAAAUGGUUCUCCGUAGUGACCUACAGACCUUCUCCCCCAAAUCAAUGGUUGCUAGUUUUAGUCUUUUGUUAUCAUUUGGAGCACCUACAGCAUUUCAUAUGAUUGUGUCUACCUAUUGGAAGUGAAGCAGAUGAACACGUAAGAAGCUGCAAGGAGGUUUCAUCUCUACACAUUUCCAGCAAUGACCACGUUCAAGUCUGGUUUCCAGAGUUUCUGACAAAUGGAUUCAUUGAUGAGAGAGUCCCAUACCAGCGAUAAGGAUUGCUGUUGUGUUGCCUUCAAGUCUAAAGUUUAGGUUAAGAGUCAGGUAAAUUCCCUGGAGGGCCGCAUCCAGCCCGUGGGCCUUAGUUUGGGGAUUUUUGGUCUAUAGGAUGCUCAAUGGAAAUUCAUGGAAAAUGGGGAAAUCUUUGAGACGGUCACACAUUGGUAGGUUAAAAUUAUUUCUUGCAAUGCAAACAUGCCACCAUGAGAGGCCUUUGAAUCAUUCUUCAAGCAGCUCCAAGAGAUCUAGACCACCUAGCAAGUGAUUUCUCUAUAAUCCUUGUCAACUAAAAUAGUACAAGAAAAGAAAACAUGGAGGAAGUGGGAAAGACAAGAUGCAUUCCUAACAACUAUGGUGACUUAUAUCACAGGCCACCCAUGGAUGUUAGAGCCAAUGAAUCAUAUUAACAGGCAUAUUUACUAUGUUCUGUCUAAGGACUCUUUGGUGUCCAGAUAAGAGUUGAAGGGCACAAGAGAGUUAUUUGACCGCUCCCUCCAGUUCCUGACCUGAUUUUCAUUGAGAUAAGAAGGGAAAGAGCACAUCAGGCAUUCUUGUCUUGCUCCUAUUAACUUCUUCUCCUUAUGUAUUGCUAAAUUGCUCAGAAUAAUUUACAAUGCGAUCACUUUUAAAUAGAGAAGAAGAAAGUUCACUGGUUCUGGGUCAUGAUAGACCUAUUCGUCUAUGUAAUUCCAAUCUGGCCAGUUCUACAUCUGUGAAAUCACAAAUUCUUGUUUUCUGGUUUAUUUAAAUGCAUAAAAAUAAUACAGGUUAGCAUCCAAUAUUAUCCAAAAUAUCCAAAAUAUUUCAAAGUCAAAAUCGUGGACAUGGCAGCCUGAGAUAACAACACCUUGGCUUUCUGAUGGUUCAGUUUAUACAAACAUUGUUCCGUGCACACAUUAUUUUUUAAAAAUGUGUAUAAUAUAAAACGACCCAAGUUCAUGAAUUUUACACACAUACAAUAUUCAGAGUAGUGUGGGGAAAAGGACCAACAUGACAACAGUUUGUGUGAAAAGGAUCUUGGAGUCCUCGUGGACAACAAAUUAAACAUGAGCCAACAAUGUGAUGCUGCGGCUAAAAAAGCCAAUGGGAUUUUGGCCUGCAUAAAUAAGAGUGUGUCUAAAUCCAGGGAAGUCAUGCUACCCCUCUAUUCUGUCUUGGUCAGGCCACACCUGGAAUACUGUUUCCAAUUCUGGGCACCGCAAUUGAAAGGAGAUGUUGACAAGCUGGAAUAUGUCCAGAGGAGGGCAACUAAAAUGAUCAAGGGUCUGGAGAACAAGCCCUAUGAGGAGCAGCUGAAAGAGCUUGGCAUGUUUAGCCUGCAGAAGAGAAGGCUGAGAGGAGACAUGAUAGCCAUGUACAAAUAUGUGAGGGGAAGUCAUAGGGAGGAGGGAGCACACUUGUCUUCUGCUGCCCUGCAGACUAGGACACGGAACAAUGGCUUCAAACUACAGGAAAGGAGAUUCCACCUGAACAUCAGGAAGAACUUCCUCACUGUGAGAGCUGUUUGGCAGUGGAACUCUAUCCCCCGGACUGUGGUGGAGGCUCCUUCUUUGGAGGCUUUUAAGCAGAGGCUGGAUGGCCAUUUGUCGGGGGUGCUAUGAAUGUGAUUUUCCUGCUACUUGGCAGAAUGGGGUUGGACUGGAUGGCCCAUGAGGUCUCUUCCAACUCUCUGAUUCUAUGAAUCUAUGAAAUGCGUUUAUUUUGCUUUAAAGUAAAUAAGCAUUUUGAGAUUUCAUCAGAAAGGAGUUCUAAUAAUUCUGGGUUUGCUAUAGAUUUCUCAUCAUAGUCUCCGUGCCUCGUUGUCCCCCCCCCCCUUUUCAGUCACAUCAUUGUAGGAAGAUGCACGUCCAUCCAUGCAGAAGAACCACAACCUGUGAGAAAGUGAUUGCAGUCAUUUUCUUAAGAAUAUGUGUGAAUUCACUCCAGGCCCAUCUCUUCGCUGAUGUCUUCAGGCGAAGGCAGCAUCAUGCUACGAAGCGAAUGUGGAGAUUCUAUUCAUAAACAAGGGAAUGGUGCAUUAAUAAGGAAUAUUCAGCAAGAAGAGGGAUCAAGGGAAGGUUUUACACACCCGACACCCCUGGCUCAACAAAUAAGGGGCUGGAAGCAUGCAUUUAAGGUAACAUCAAUCAAUGAGUGUUAUUGUCCCGGCAAAUAAAUGCUACAACAAAUCAAUACCAUAAAGCAAGGCAGGGAUUCCAACCUGGCAUGAAAGGGAGAUGAAAUGAACAAAUUCAUAAAGAGACAACUACCCUUUUUCAAAACUCUCUAGAAAUGUUUAGGUAUUUUCACUAUAUUCUAAUAGCAUAUACAAAGUAAACUAACACUACAAUAAAAGGAAAAGAAAGGCAAUGAGAAAAAAAAGUCAAAAAGGACCAAAUACAGAACUCGAUGGUGCAGUGUGUUAAAGCGCUGAGCUGCUGAACUUGUGGACCAAAAGGUUGGCGGUUCAAAUCCGGAGAGUGGGGUGAGCUGUUAGCCCCAGCUUCUCCCAACCUAGCAGUUUGAAAACAUGCAAAUGUGAGUAGAUCAAUAGGUACUGCUCUGGUGGGAAGGUAACGGCACUCCAUGCAGUCAUGCCUAUGGCCACAUGACCCUGGAGGUGUCUAGGGACAACGCCGGCUCUUCGGCUUAGAAAAGGAGAUGAGCACCAACCCCCAGAUUCAGAUACGACUGGACUUAACAUCAGGGGAAAACCUUUACCUUACCUACAGAACCUCCAUAACCCAAACAGUAAUCUACUUUUCAAUUAACUCCACAACUAAACUGUUGGGGUGUUGUGUGACCUCCUAUCCCAGAAACCAAAGACAUUGUUAUAAAACUACAUUAAACAUCUCAUUACUCUUUAACUAAAGUUUAAAUGUCUGCCUAUCAACGUCAAUAAAGCUAUAUCUUCAAACCUUGCAAGCGUUGUUAUUCCUUCUUCUCUAUACAGGAAAAAAUGAUUGCCAAUCUUAAAAUAUUGUAAAAUAUCCAAACUCUUCUCUCUCAUCAAAAUAGAAAAUAUUUCCUUUUUGUCACUUCAAAAAUCUUUAAAAUCCAUUCUUUUUCAGUUGGAAGAUUCGUAUUCUUCCACUUCUGGCCAUUAGGCAUGUCCGAUUGAUGAAAAAAAUGUUUCAAUUCUCGUUUCUAAAGUAGGGGGCGCUGGCGCUUCAAUAUAGAAAGUAUUUCCGAUUUUUUUCACCCAAAAAUUUCAGAUAUUUCCGAAAAUUCGUAAUGAUGCUAAAU